Molecule: ribosomal RNA, 497 nt
Filed under: uncultured bacterium
Lineage: Bacteria
Description: partial 16S ribosomal RNA
Rfam family: Bacterial small subunit ribosomal RNA
Source: RNAcentral
GAUGAACGCUGGCGGCGUGCCUAAUACAUGCAAGUCGAGCGAACAGACCAGGAGCUUGCUCCUCUGACGUUAGCGGCGGACGGGUGAGUAACACGUGGAUAACCUAUCUAUUAGACUGGGAUAACUUAGGGAAACCGGAGCUAAUACCGGAUAAUCUAUUGAACCGCAUGGUUCAAUCGUGAAAGGCGGUUUUGCUGCUACUUAUAGAUGGAUCCGUGCCGCAUUAGCUAGUUGGUAAGGUAACGGCUUACCAAGGCAACGAUGCGUAGCCGACCUGAGAGGGUGAUCGGCCACACUGAAACUGAGACACGGUCCAGACUCCGACGGGAGGCAGCAGUAGGGAAUCUUCCGCAAUGGGCGAAAGCUUGACGGAGCAACGCCGCGUGAGUGAUGAAGGUCUUCGGAUCGGAAAACUCUGUUAUUAGGGAAGAACAAAUGUGUAAGUAACUAUGCACGUCUUGACGGUACCGAAACAGAAAGCCACGGCUAACUACGUG